GGCGCCUAUGACAGCCUGUUGGCUUUUACCUGGUCUGCGAGAAAUCAAACUUUGGGCACAAGUCAUGAAGCCGACAAGCCCGGGAGACACAGUGUCAGAAUUACAAGGUGAGAUCAGCCGCCCGGCCAAGCUAUUUUCUCGCUAGCAGUUCGGUUUCCCUCCAGAUCAUCAAGCCUCCUCCCGCCCAGGGGGCCUCCUGCUUUCCUAAGCUGCUGUGGAACCGGCCUGAGGUCCCAGACGCUGUCCAUUGUGCUGCUGCGCUCUGCUUUCUCCAGCCACAGUGCCAGUUCAUCCGCUUUUGGGAGAACUCCGCCGCCUGGCCUGCCCGCGGACAAGGUCACAGCUUUGCAGGGGGGUGACAUGGGAUAUGGCUUCUUGGAAAUGUCACCCUCACCAGCGCCUUUUAGAUGGAUGUGAAUUUUGAGACAUGAGG
RNAcentral lists this long non-coding RNA (433 nucleotides) under Pongo abelii (Sumatran orangutan). Its description in RNAcentral is "lincRNA". The record is from RNAcentral. Lineage: Eukaryota; Metazoa; Chordata; Mammalia; Primates; Hominidae.